This 478-nucleotide ribosomal RNA is filed under the name uncultured bacterium. RNAcentral's name for it is "partial 16S ribosomal RNA". It matches the Rfam family "Bacterial small subunit ribosomal RNA", at positions 28 to 523 of the family's 1533-position model. The record is from RNAcentral.
GACGAACGCUGGCGGCGUGCUUAACACAUGCAAGUCGAACGGUAAGGCCCUUCGGGGUACACGAGUGGCGAACGGGUGAGUAACACGUGGGUGAUCUGCCCUGCCCUUCGGGAUAAGCCUGGGAAACUGGGUCUAAUACCGGAUAUGACCCUGGUAUGCCUGUCCUUGGGUGGAAAGCUUUUGCGGCGUGGGAUGGGCCCGCGGCCUAUCAGCUUGUUGGUGGGGUGAUGGCCUACCAAGGCGACGACGGGUAGCCGGCCUGAGAGGGUGACCGGCCACACUGGGACUGAGAUACGGCCCAGACUCCUACGGGAGGCAGCAGUGGGGAAUAUUGCACAAUGGGCGCAAGCCUGAUGCAGCGACGCCGCGUGAGGGAUGACGGCCUUCGGGUUGUAAACCUCUUUCAGCACCGACGAAGCGCAAGUGACGGUAGGUGCAGAAGAAGGACCGGCCAACUACGUGCCAGCCGCCGCGGUAA